Molecule: ribosomal RNA, 400 nt
Filed under: uncultured bacterium
Lineage: Bacteria
Description: bacterial SSU rRNA
Rfam family: Bacterial small subunit ribosomal RNA
Source: RNAcentral
UGAGGAAUAUUGGUCAAUGGACGCAAGUCUGAACCAGCCAAGCCGCGUGAAGGACGAAGGCUCUAGUAGUCGUAAACUUCUUUUGUAGGGGAAGAAAAAGCAUCACGCGCUGAUGCCCUGACGGUACUCUACGAAUAAGCAUCGGCUAACUCCGUGCCAGCAGCCGCGGUAAUACGGAGGAUGCAGGCGUUAUCCGGAUUUAUUAGGUUUAAAGGGUGCGUAGGCGGGCUUUUAAGUCAGUGGUGAAAACCCUCAGCUUAACUGAGGAACUGCCAUUGAUACUGAAGGUCUUGAAUGCAGUUGAGGCAGGCGGAAUGUGCAGUGUAGCGGUGAAAUGCUUAGAUAUUGCACAGAACACCGAUAGCGAAGGCAGCUUGCUAAACUGUGAUUGACGCUGAUG